This 249-nucleotide ribosomal RNA is filed under the name uncultured bacterium. RNAcentral describes it as "partial 16S ribosomal RNA". It matches the Rfam family "Bacterial small subunit ribosomal RNA", at positions 83 to 334 of the family's 1533-position model. The record is from RNAcentral.
AAGAGAUGGCGACCGGCGCACGGGUGAGUAACACGUAUCCAACCUGCCGAUAACUCCGGAAUAGCCUUCGAAAGAAAGAUUAAUACCGGAUGGCAUACGAAUAUCGCAUGAUAUUUUUAUUAAAGAAUUUCGGUUAUCGAUGGGGAUGCGUUCCAUUAGUUUGUUGGCGGGGUAACGGCCCACCAAGACUACGAUGGAUAGGGGUUCUGAGAGGAAGGUCCCCCACAUUGGAACUGAGACACGGUCCAA